RNAcentral lists this ribosomal RNA (509 nucleotides) under uncultured Ascomycota. RNAcentral describes it as "eukaryotic LSU rRNA". The stretch from base 149 to 302 matches the Rfam family "5.8S ribosomal RNA". Lineage: Eukaryota; Fungi; Ascomycota. The record is from RNAcentral.
UCUGCUGCCGCAGGUGGCAACCACACCCUCUGUCUACCUGUACCUCUUGUUGUUUCCUCGGCAGGCCGCUUACGCCAGCCGCUAGGAAUACCUUAAAACCCUUGUAUCUAAAGUAUCUAAAACUCUGAUAACAAAACAAACAAAUCACAACUUUCAACAAUGGAUCUCUUGGUUCUGGCAUCGAUGAAGAACGCAGCGAAAUGCGAAAAGUAGUGUGAAUUGCAGAAUUCCGUGAAUCAUCGAAUCUUUGAACGCACAUUGCGCCCCUCGGUAUUCCGUGGGGCAUGCCUGUUCGAGCGUCAUUAUCACCCUCAAGCUCUGCUUGGUGUUGGGCGCCUGUCCCGCCUCAGUGUGCGGACUCGCCCUAAAGCUAUUGGCAGCGGUCGUGCCAGCUUCUAGCGCAGCACAUUUGCGCUUCUUGAAGCUAUGGUGGAUCAGCAUCCAGCAAGCCCUCUAUAGUUUGACCUCGGAUCAGGUAGGGAUACCCGCUGAACUUAAGCAUAUCAAUA